This 465-nucleotide ribosomal RNA is filed under the name Vreelandella stevensii. RNAcentral describes it as "partial 16S ribosomal RNA". It matches the Rfam family "Bacterial small subunit ribosomal RNA", at positions 338 to 795 of the family's 1533-position model. Lineage: Bacteria; Pseudomonadati; Pseudomonadota; Gammaproteobacteria; Oceanospirillales; Halomonadaceae. The record is from RNAcentral.
CCUACGGGGUGCAGCAGUGGGGAAUAUUGGACAAUGGGGGGAACCCUGAUCCAGCCAUGCCGCGUGUGUGAAGAAGGCCCUCGGGUUGUAAAGCACUUUCAGUGAGGAAGAACGCCUGGUGGUUAAUACCCAUCAGGAAAGACAUCACUCACAGAAGAAGCACCGGCUAACUCCGUGCCAGCAGCCGCGGUAAUACGGAGGGUGCGAGCGUUAAUCGGAAUUACUGGGCGUAAAGCGCGCGUAGGUGGCUUGAUAAGCCGGUUGUGAAAGCCCCGGGCUCAACCUGGGAACGGCAUCCGGAACUGUCAAGCUAGAGUGCAGGAGAGGAAGGUAGAAUUCCCGGUGUAGCGGUGAAAUGCGUAGAGAUCGGGAGGAAUACCAGUGGCGAAGGCGGCCUUCUGGACUGACACUGACACUGAGGUGCGAAAGCGUGGGUAGCACACAGGAUUAGAUACCCCAGUAGUC